This 395-nucleotide ribosomal RNA is filed under the name uncultured bacterium. Its description in RNAcentral is "partial 16S ribosomal RNA". It matches the Rfam family "Bacterial small subunit ribosomal RNA", at positions 523 to 918 of the family's 1533-position model. The record is from RNAcentral.
AUACGUAGGGUGCAAGCGUUAAUCGGAAUUACUGGGCGUAAAGCGUGCGCAGGCGGUUUUGUAAGACAGAGGUGAAAUCCCCGGGCUCCACCUGGGAACUGCCUUUGUGACUGCCAGGCUAGAGUACGGCAGAGGGGGGUGGAAUUCCCCGUGUAGCAGUGAAAUGCGUAGAUAUGCGGAGGAACACCGAUGGCGAAGGCAAUCCCCUGGGCCUGUACUGACGCUCAUGCACGAAAGCGUGGGGAGCAAACAGGAUUAGAUACCCUGGUAGUCCACGCCCUAAACGAUGUCAACUGGUUGUUGGGUCUUCAUUGACUCAGUAACGAAGCUAACGCGUGAAGUUGACCGCCUGGGGAGUACGGCCGCAAGGUUGAAACUCAAAUGAAUUGACGGGG